AUCAAUAAGCGGAGGAAAAGAAACCAACAGGGAUUGCCUUAGUAACGGCGAGUGAAGCGGCAACAGCUCAAAUUUGAAAGCUGGCUCCUUUGGAGUCCGCGUUGUAAUUUGUAGAGGAUGAUUCGGCAAGGGCUCCCGCCUAAGUCUCCUGGAACGGAGCGUCAUAGAGGGUGAGAAUCCCGUAUGCGGUGGGCUGCCUAAGCCAUGUGAAUCUCCUUCGACGAGUCGAGUUGUUUGGGAAUGCAGCUCUAAAUGGGAGGUAAAUUUCUUCUAAAGCUAAAUACCGGCCAGAGACCGAUAGCGCACAAGUAGAGUGAUCGAAAGAUGAAAAGCACUUUGGAAAGAGAGUUAAAAAGUACGUGAAAUUGUUGAAAGGGAAGCGCUUGCAGCCAGACUUGUCCGCAGUUGCUCAGCCGGUCUCCUGACCGGUGUACUCUUCUGCGGCCAGGCCAGCAUCAGUUCGGGCGGUCGGAUAAAGACCUCGGGAAUGUAGCUCCUCUCGGGGAGUGUUAUAGCCCGGGGUGGAAUGCGGCCAGCC
RNAcentral lists this ribosomal RNA (538 nucleotides) under Botryosphaeria dothidea. RNAcentral describes it as "partial large subunit ribosomal RNA". It matches the Rfam family "Eukaryotic large subunit ribosomal RNA", at positions 42 to 584 of the family's 3401-position model. Lineage: Eukaryota; Fungi; Ascomycota; Dothideomycetes; Botryosphaeriales; Botryosphaeriaceae. The record is from RNAcentral.